AUAAUUAAUAAUAAUGAAGGAAAAACAGAAACUACGAAUGUGAUGAAAAGACAAACCUUUGAGAGGGCUAGACGCAGAAUAGAAAGUAAGAACCAACACCGGCGGGGACUCGGUGGGUGACAGUGAUGAAGACCGACUCAACUCAACCUUAUUUGGGUAAAUUGAUCGGAAACGAAUAACUCUUCUUAACAACACCAGCGCGCGCGCAAGAAGAUCCAGAAAGUAAGAGUUAAAACAACAAAACAAAAAGAAUGCGAAGAAUAUUGUUGCGUGAAUCGAUCUCAAUAGAACAAGAAGAAAAGGAACUAGAGUUAUUACGAAAACACAAGAGACUAGUAUUUGAGAGAAAGAUCAAAACAGCAGUGUUGGCUCCCACACUUCUAUAACCAAACACUGAAGGUAUUGAGAUUGGCUCCCAUAUUUCUCCAUUCUGAGGGUAUAAAGUGUGGCACCAUAUAACCAGAGGAUGCACCAGUGUUGAUAAUACAUGACAAAUAAGUCAAAUGAUCUUGAUAAGAUACUUGUUCAUAAGCAUGAAAUGAACAAUCACAACAGAGGACGAGCAAGCCUUAAAAAUUACUCAUGAAGAAGAGGUUGAGGUUUAGGCAGUAGAGGUGCAUUUCAAGGCUGCCACGAGCAACUGUAAGAGUGCCACAAGUUAGAAUACUUUCAAAGUGAAGAACAAGAGAUGCUGUUGAUGGCUCAUGUAAUUCACUAGAGUUUUUUGUUUUUUAUUUUUUUAUUAUAUUAUCGGAGAAGGGUUAAGAUUGAAAACUCUGAAUGUGUUGAGGUAGUUAGUAGUUUGUUUUGUUUCCUUAAGAUAGUUUUCUCUUAUGAAGCUAACCUUAUGUUUUAUAAAUAUGGCUUCACUAGGCUUUCAUUUUGAAUUAAUUGAUAAACUAGAGAGUUAUCUAGUUGAGGGGAUUAGAGUCUUUUGUGUAUUAAUUUCUUUCAAUCAACAAACACACUAGCAAAUAAUCCGAUUUCUCUAUCCUUUUAUUAUCAUUCA
Cicer arietinum (chickpea) is the source of this 1009-nucleotide long non-coding RNA. RefSeq lists it as uncharacterized. Lineage: Eukaryota; Viridiplantae; Streptophyta; Magnoliopsida; Fabales; Fabaceae. The record is from RefSeq and is a predicted model, not a curated record.